AUUGAACGCUGGCGGAAUGCUUUACACAUGCAAGUCGAACGGCAGCACGGACUUCGGUCUGGUGGCGAGUGGCGAACGGGUGAGUAAUGUAUCGGAACGUGCCCAGUCGUGGGGGAUAACGUAGUGAAAAUUACGCUAAUACCGCAUACGAUCUAUGGAUGAAAGCGGGGGAUCGCAAGACCUCGCGCGAUUGGAGCAGCCAAUAUCAGAUUAGGUAGUUGGUGGGGUAAAGGCCCACCAAGCCAACGAUCUGUAGCUGGUCUGAGAGGACGACCAGCCACACUGGAACUGAGACACGGUCCAGACUCCUACGGGAGGCAGCAGUGGGAAUUUUGGACAAUGGGCGAAAGCCUGAUCCAGCCAUUCCGCGUGCAGGAUGAAGGCCCUCGGGUUGUAAACUGCUUUUGUACAGAACGAAAAGGUUUCUACUAAUACUAGGAGCUCAUGACGGUACUGUAAGAAUAAGCACCGGCUAACUACGUGCCAGCCGCCGCGGUAA
This 499-nucleotide ribosomal RNA is filed under the name uncultured bacterium. Its description in RNAcentral is "partial 16S ribosomal RNA". It matches the Rfam family "Bacterial small subunit ribosomal RNA", at positions 30 to 523 of the family's 1533-position model. The record is from RNAcentral.